RNAcentral lists this ribosomal RNA (253 nucleotides) under uncultured bacterium. RNAcentral describes it as "partial 16S ribosomal RNA". It matches the Rfam family "Bacterial small subunit ribosomal RNA", at positions 524 to 776 of the family's 1533-position model. The record is from RNAcentral.
UACGUAGGGUGCAAGCGUUGUCCGGAAUUAUUGGGCGUAAAGAGCUCGUAGGCGGUUUGUCGCGUCUGCUGUGAAAACCCGAGGCUCAACCUCGGGCCUGCAGUGGGUACGGGCAGACUAGAGUGCGGUAGGGGAGAUUGGAAUUCCUGGUGUAGCGGUGGAAUGCGCAGAUAUCAGGAGGAACACCGGUGGCGAAGGCGGGUCUCUGGGACGGUACUGACGCUGAGACGCGAAAGCGUGGGGAGCGAACGGG